RNAcentral lists this long non-coding RNA (1787 nucleotides) under Strigops habroptila (Kakapo). Its description in RNAcentral is "lncRNA (ENSSHBG00005007151.1)". Lineage: Eukaryota; Metazoa; Chordata; Aves; Psittaciformes; Psittacidae. The record is from RNAcentral.
UGGUUUUUAUCUUGAAAUUUAAUUAAAGAAAAAUGUCUCAAAGUGAUUAAGCACAUCUGACUUCCAGCUUCUUGUAAUGGCACAAGCCAGUGCAGUGAGUUGUAGAAAGCGAGCUCAGAGGUUUAUUUUCAUUUAAAAAAAGGGAAGAAAAGAAAAAGAGAAAACUCUCAAGAUGUGGUCCGAGGGUGAGGUCCUGUUACAAAAGUGGCUGUUUACUUAUAAACAAGAUUAAAAUGUAGUGAACAAAGUUUCAUACAGCUUAAACAAAACCACUUUUCUGAAGCAGUACAAGUAAUGUUUCAAGACCGUAAGAACACCAAAAGCAGAGAACAAAAAAGGCAGAAGAAUCACACAACAUUUCUUACUGAAAUGAUAAAUAAUGUACAUUGAAUAGUAAUAGCUUGACAUUUUUAUUGCUCCAAUGGCAGCGUGUUGACAAGUAAAUGUAGUGAACUGUCGUAGUGGGACAAUCAUAAACAGUUAUGGGUUUGCAUGUGGAGUUUUGUACCUGUCAAGGAAAGCAUAAGAACUUUGAUUUAUCAAGACCACAUAAGAUUCAGUAAAAGUGUUUUCUGUUUUAAAGCCACCCAUCUAUAGCUGAACCCGCUUCCUAGACUUGUCUGCGCAUGUCCUGGAACACCUUUUUUCCCUCCUAUGGUAAAAUAAGUUCACAGAUGCAGGUGGGCAAUCAGCAGGUAGGUGCUCUGAUGCUCUGCCAGGGUUCUUUAAUACUUCAGUACUCAUUAGAUACAAAACUUAUUAGAUACAAACCCAAAUAUUUCCUAGAUAAAGUCCAGAAAGGAAAGUUAGUGUCAGCAUGUUUAUAUGAAAAAUGAAACAUCGAUUUGGUAGACAGUGACUGCUUUUAAAACUCCACUGCAAACUCACACUACUGAAUGUUACUAGUUCCCUUUUCUCCUUACUCCCUGCACAAUGUGUUCUCUUUUGCUGGAACCAGUCAAGGCACUUUCUUUAACACUUCCAUGACACUUGGCUUACAUUAAUCUCUGUUCUGUUGCCACAAAUUCUUUCUCCAAUGAAAAAGUAUCCUUCAUAAAGACAUUUACCAAUUCAUGCUGACUUCUUAUGGUCAACAAUGAGCUUUUCUGUCUUGUGAGAUAGAAUUACCUGCUGAUUGUUCAAAGCAGAGGAUAGCCCAGGCAAAAAGGAACCUGUAGGCAGAGCAGAAGUGCACAGUUCACAGCAGUACUUACAGCUGCCUUCCUCUUUAAAUGAGCUAUGGAACCUGUGUCUUUCAGAUGCAAAUAUAAUACUGUGUGCUGGAUUUGCAUUUUAAUGCAAAUUUAUCUACUUACUAAAACAUGGAGCUUACUGUAAAUGGCAGUUUCAGCUCUCAUAUUCUUUACCAGUUGCUUUAUGGCCACAUAUUUACAUGUCUAUUAAAACACAAAGAAGAGACCCUUUCAUGGUUUGAAGACUAUACAGUUAACAAUUAAGGACAAAGUAAAAUGUAUACAAUUUACAUACUUGAAAUGUAAACUUUAAAAACUAACAUUCUCAUUCACCACCGGCAAUUACUAGAGCUCUCAUUCUGCUUUGCCUGGUCUCUCAGUUGGAAAAGAACAUUUUGAAAUACAGUCACAUAAAGAACCUGCUGAGAAUUCUUGAGUUUCUUACACACAAAAAGAAAAUAACAAAGUUCUGGCGUAACAGUAAGAAACUCCCAUUGUUCAACUAAUGAAGCUAAGCUCCCUUCACUUACUCCAGAAACUUCUUCUAAGGGAAAUACACAGAACUGGGUGUGCUCUUUCAGUUUUGGUUUACAU